UAACACUAUUCAUUAAAUCAAAUUUGGUGUAUCAUUAGAGUGGUAUUCACACCACCAAAUUUACAUUAAAUUUGCCUAACCAUUGGAGAGUCUCACAACUGAGUUCCAGGUGCUGCAAGGGGAAACGUCGAAAGAUUUUUUCUUCUUUUUGCAUUAGUUUUUUCUCUCUCUCUCUCUUUCCUAUUUUAAUCAAAAUGAGGGUAUAAAUUUCUUUUUAAUAAAACGGUGACUAAGACUCAAUUGGACGGGUUCAUUUGGAUCCAAACGCUCCAUCAUAGAAAGUUAAGGGCUUAGGGCGUCACAAAUACGAGAUUUAGGACUCCAUUGUCACAGCAAUCAAAAGUUUGGGACCCUCACUGGAUUUCAUAUCUUUUAACCAAAGGUCAGUCGUGUAUUCUCUAAUGCUGUCCAAAAGCCAGUGACUAGUGGCCAAUGAAGAUGAAGAGAAGAUGCAUUUACCUGCAUUGGACUAACCCUGCAAAUUUUUACCCAUAAUGCAAUGGACUUAAAUUCAAAUAUCAGAUGAUAAACCAUACAGAUUCCUAGAAAUUCAUAGCAUAUGAUAUUAUCUCAAACCCAAAUUUAAGGCAUGUGAAAAUAUUGCAUUAGAACUCACCAUCACGGAAUACAGAAACUCCAAUCAAGAUUCAUUUUUGGCAAGUCACUUUUCAUUUCAAUAGCCAAGGGAGAAACUCCACACACAAGCUAUAUGCCAAAAAGCUCAUAUUCCAAAUCUGUGAUAAAAAAGUUCAUAUCCAUGUCCAUAAGAUUAACAUUGCAUUUUACUCACGAUAAAGAGGGUCGCAAAGAUGAAUGCUAAAUAGCAAACAGGAUGCUUACCAAGUGUAUAAAUGCAGCUUGGAAGGGAUGAUAGAAUCCACGAGUACAAACUCUUGUGGCGUUCAUACUUCAAAGAGUAAGAUGAGAAACAAGCAAUGAGAAAGAACAGUACUAUAUUGCAAGAUCAUCAUACUUCAAAGAGUAUGCCUCGCGGUUUUUGAACCUCAACAAUGGUAUCUAACCAGACCAUCAAU
RNAcentral lists this long non-coding RNA (1034 nucleotides) under Olea europaea (common olive). RNAcentral describes it as "long non-coding RNA (OEUR_LNC010189)". The record is from RNAcentral. Lineage: Eukaryota; Viridiplantae; Streptophyta; Magnoliopsida; Lamiales; Oleaceae.